Molecule: ribosomal RNA, 253 nt
Filed under: uncultured bacterium
Lineage: Bacteria
Description: partial 16S ribosomal RNA
Rfam family: Bacterial small subunit ribosomal RNA
Source: RNAcentral
UACGUAGGGGGCUAGCGUUGUCCGGAAUCAUUGGGCGUAAAGCGCGCGUAGGCGGCCCGGUAAGUCCGCUGUGAAAGUCAAAGGCUCAACCUUUGAAUGUCAGCGGAUACUGCCGGGCUAGAGUCCGGGAGAGGCGAGUGGAACUCCUGGUGUAGCGGUGGAAUGCGCAGAUAUCAGGAAGAACACCAACGGCGAAGGCAGCUCGCUGGGACGGAACUGACGCUAAGGCGCGAAAGCGUGGGGAGCGAACAGG